Long non-coding RNA from Ailuropoda melanoleuca (giant panda), 1100 nucleotides. RefSeq lists it as uncharacterized. NCBI's taxonomy places the organism in Eukaryota, Metazoa, Chordata, Mammalia, Carnivora, Ursidae. The transcript has 2 exons. The record is from RefSeq and is a predicted model, not a curated record.
CAGUUUCAGAGGCUGCCUCCUGGGAGCAGGGCGUGCCCAGCUGGAGAAGGGUCACGGUCUCACACUUGCAGGAAGCCCCUUGUGGACUCUUCUACCCUCUUGCAAGCAUGAGGAUCUGCCAGUUCCUGGGCUUUAACCGCCUGGGAAAUGCCAGCCCGGGAGCCACUGAGAGUUACAGCUCCGGGCUUCAGCGUGAAAGCCAGUGGGGGAGGGGGGCGGUGUCUGAUAAAAUGCGGCUUUGGAUCUGAAUCUUCUUCAUGGAGAGAGGAGGUGGAGAAAGGCUUUGGCGGUGGGAAGGGGGCCCUGCUCUGGGGCGGUUCUGAGGCUGCUGGGGAAAUAUGGCAAAUGGAGAAGGACUGCUAAGGAGUGGGGGCUCCUCUGCGGUGGCAUUUGCCAGCGGUUCGGGUCUGGUUUGCGCAGGAACUUCCAGGGACGUCACAACUGGUUGAUGGCAGGGGUGAGGAGGAGGAAUGAGUGACCUUCCUGGCUCUGACCUCAGCCCGGCCUGCCGUUGGGCCCCAUGGACGCCCCACCAUCCCGUCUGAGCCCCACCAUCAGAGCAGCUGUGCUACUCCUCCCUACUUAGACCCUAGUACCCUGGGGAUCCUGGCUAGCACCUUUUCCCAGGCCUCUGGCUCCGCCAGGCAAACCAACAGCACACCCACAGGAAGAAAAGGAGGGAAACCUGAACCUUCUGCGGAAACUCCGAAGGUGCACAUGAUGUUAUAAAGAAGGCUUAGCACGAAACUAGUGAGAACAAGGCCAGAAACCCAAAAGAAAAAUGAACGAAGAGUAUGAGCAGGAGGUCCACAGGACACAAAAUGUUGAAUGGCCCGGGAACAUAGAAGAAGAUGCCCAGACUCACUCAUUAUAAAAGACAUGCAAAUAAAAACUUUUGAGAUGUCAUUUUUUUACCUGCUAAUUUGGCAAAAAUUCAAAGUUGACCAACAUAAUCUGCUGGAGAGGCUGAGGGGAACAGAGAACACUGGGCAACCCCAUGGAAGCCAGUAAGGCGAGAUCUGGCAAAGUUACAAAUGCACAUACCCUUCAGCCAGCAAUCCCACUACUGGAAAUGUAUUCAAUAAAUCCACCUGCACGUA